UGGGGAAUAUUGCGCAAUGGCCGAAAGGCUGACGCAGCGACGCCGCGUGUGGGAGGAAGCCCUUCGGGGUGUAAACCACUGUCAGGGGGGACGAAUUUCGGACGGGCAAAUAGCCCGGACGAGUGACGGUACCUCCAAAGGAAGCACCGGCUAACUCCGUGCCAGCAGCCGCGGUAAGACGGAGGGUGCGAGCGUUGUUCGGAAUUACUGGGCGUAAAGCGCGGGCAGGUGGCCUUUUAAGUCCUUUGUGAAAUCCCGGGGCUCAACUCCGGAUGUGCAUAGGAUACUGGAAGGCUAGAGACUGGUAGAGGCGAGCGGAAUUCCUGGUGUAGCGGUGGAAUGCGUAGAUAUCAGGAAGAACACCGGUGGCGAAGGCGGCUCGCUGGGCCAGUUCUGACACUCAUCCGCGAAAGCGUGGGGAGCAAACAGG
RNAcentral lists this ribosomal RNA (430 nucleotides) under uncultured bacterium. Its description in RNAcentral is "bacterial SSU rRNA". It matches the Rfam family "Bacterial small subunit ribosomal RNA", at positions 355 to 776 of the family's 1533-position model. The record is from RNAcentral.